UAUCAUGGGUCAUUUAGACAACC
This 23-nucleotide microRNA is filed under the name Lotus japonicus. RNAcentral describes it as "lja-miR11108i-3p". The record is from miRBase by way of RNAcentral. Lineage: Eukaryota; Viridiplantae; Streptophyta; Magnoliopsida; Fabales; Fabaceae.